RNAcentral lists this ribosomal RNA (494 nucleotides) under uncultured bacterium. RNAcentral describes it as "partial 16S ribosomal RNA". It matches the Rfam family "Bacterial small subunit ribosomal RNA", at positions 28 to 507 of the family's 1533-position model. The record is from RNAcentral.
GACGAACGCUGGCGGCGUGCUUAACACAUGCCAGUCGAACGGUGAAGCGCCUUCCUUUUUGGUGGGUGUGGAUGAGUGGCGAACGGGUGAGUAACACGUGAGUAACCUGCCCCCUUCUUCUGGAUAACCGCAUGAAAGUGUGGCUAAUACGGGAUAUUCUGGGUCUGUCGCAUGAUGGGUCUGGGAAAGAUAUUGUUUCGGUGGGGGAUGGGCUCGCGGCCUAUCAGCUUGUUGGUGGGGUGAUGGCCUACCAAGGCGGUGACGGGUAGCCGGCCUGAGAGGGUGGACGGUCACACUGGGACUGAGACACGGCCCAGACUCCUACGGGAGGCAGCAGUGGGGAAUAUUGCACAAUGGGCGCAAGGCUGAUGCAGCGACGCCGCGUGAGGGAUGGAGGCCUUCGGGUUGUGAACCUCUUUCGCCAGUGAAGCAGGCCUGCCUCGUUUGUGGGUGGGUUGACGGUAGCUGGAGAAGAAGCGCCGGCUAACUACGUG